This 444-nucleotide ribosomal RNA is filed under the name uncultured organism. Its description in RNAcentral is "bacterial SSU rRNA". It matches the Rfam family "Bacterial small subunit ribosomal RNA", at positions 346 to 784 of the family's 1533-position model. The record is from RNAcentral.
GUGCAGCAGGCGAGAAUUUUUGACAAUGGGGAAACCCUGAUCGAGCGACGCCGCGUGGAGGAUGAAGGUCUUCGGAUUGUAAACUCCUGUCAUUGGGGAACAAGGUGCAUACGUUAACUGCGCGUGUAUUGAUAGUACCCGAAGAGGAAGGGACGGCUAACUCUGUGCCAGCAGCCGCGGUAAUACAGAGGUCCCAAGCGUUGUUCGGAUUCAUUGGGCGUAAAGGGUGCGUAGGCGGCGCGGUAAGUCGGGUGUGAAAUCUCGGAGCUUAACUCCGAAACCUGCAUUCGAUACUGCCGUGCUUGAGGACUGGAGAGGAGACUGGAAUUUACGGUGUAGCGGUGAAAUGCGUAGAUAUCGUAAGGAAGACCAGUGGCGAAGGCGGGUCUCUGGACAGUUCCUGACGCUGAGGCACGAAGGCCAGGGAGCAAACGGGAUUAGAUA